Gouania willdenowi (blunt-snouted clingfish) is the source of this 2446-nucleotide long non-coding RNA. Lineage: Eukaryota; Metazoa; Chordata; Actinopteri; Blenniiformes; Gobiesocidae. The record is from Ensembl.
AAACUAGUUCUGCUGACAGGCUUCACACACUCCUCUCAGAGGUUGGAUGAUAACAGCUCACACUGCAACGUGCACAAGUUCGCUUGGAUUAAAAACAAAAAACAAUCCUGAGAGGUGCUGACUGUGUCCACUCACACAUAUGGAAGCUGUGAUAGGACUUCUGCUUGUGUUGCUCCAAGUUUCAUUUGGUGUGGAAAAUCACUGUGAUGGCAGACAGAAUAACGCUCAGUGUUAUGCAGCUUUGGAUGGAUCUAUAUUCAUCAGGCUGAUGGACAGCGCUGUAGAAAAUCAUACAUACAUGUGGUCUAAAUAUAAAAGUAUAUUAUUGGUAGUGAAGAAUAAACAUGUUAUAAUGAAUACUUUAGAGAAGAGAGCAGAUUUUACUACACAAAAUGGUAUUUAUAGAAUAAAUCAACUAAAGUCGAGUGACAGUGGCCAGUAUCGACUUGAUGUUUUUGUAGAUGGGGGACAAAAAGAAGAACGGAAACUAAAUUUGUCUUUUCAAGGUCAGUUGUUUCUUUUUGGUUUGUCCAUAUAGAGUAAAGUGUACACUCAGAUUAUUUAUAAUCUGUAAACAAUCUCUUACACAGCUCCAGUAUCUUCUGUCCAGCUCGUCCCUACAUGUCUUUCUAUGGGGGAGAAGAAAGUUUCCUGCUCCUCUAAAGGGGACAGUCUUCUCUACAGCUGGACUCUGGAUGGACGCCCUCUGACAGACUCUGACCUCGUCCCAAAGGGCAGCAACACCAACAUUAUUCACCUGAAACUACAAACUGUAGGAAAACUGGUCUGUCAUGUCCAAAACAAAGUCAGCAAAAGCUCUGGUGAAGUGACGUUAACCACUUGUGGUGUGGAAAAUCACUGUGAUGGCAGACAGAAUAACGCUCAGUGUUAUGCAGCUUUGGAUGGAUCUAUAUUCAUCAGGCUGAUGGACAGCGCUGUAGAAAAUCAUACAUACAACUGGAAUAAAGAUAAAAGUAGAUUAUUGGUAGUGAAUAAUAAACGUGUUAUAACAAAUACUUUAGAGAAGAGAGCAGAUUUUACUACACAAAAUGGUAUUUAUAGAAUAAAUCAACUAAAGUCGAGUGACAGUGGCCAGUAUCGACUCGAAGUUUUUGUAGAUGGGGGAAAAAAAGAAGAAGAACGGAUACUAAAUUUGUCUGUUCAAGCUCCAGUAUCUUCUGUCCAGCUCGUCCCUACAUGUCUUUCUAUGGGGGAGAAGAAAGUUUCCUGCUCCUCUAAAGGGGACAGUCUUCUCUACAGCUGGACUCUGGAUGGACGUCCUCUGACAGACUCUGACCUCGUCCCAAAGGGCAGCAACACCAACAUUAUUCACCUGAAACUACAAACUGUAGGAAAACUGGUCUGUCAUGUCCAAAACAAUGUCAGCAAAAGCUCUGGUGAAGUGACGUUAACCACUUGUGGUUACAUCUUCAUAAACUGCACUUUGUCCAAUGGGACAGACAUAUUGCAGUGGGUGCUUGAGGCCACUAACACGUUGUGUGUUGACCCAACAACAGCCCCUAUGGGUGUGGAAAAUCACUGUGAUGGCAGACAGAAUAACGCUCAGUGUUAUGCAGCUUUGGAUGGAUCUAUAUUCAUCAGGCUGAUGGACAGCGCUGUAGAAAAUCAUAUAUACAUGUGGUUUAAAUAUACAAGUAAAUUAUUGGUAGUGAAUAAUAAACGUGUUAUAAUGAAUACUUUAGAGAAGAGAGCAGAUUUUACUACACAAAAUGGUAUUUAUAGAAUAAAUCAACUAAAGUCGAGUGACAGUGGCCAGUAUCGACUUGAAUAUUUUGUAGAUGGGGGAAAAAAAGAAGAACGGAAACUAAAUUUGUCUGUUCAAGCUCCAGUAUCUUCUGUCCAGCUCGUCCCUACAUGUCUUUCUAUGGGGGAGAAGAAAGUUUCCUGCUCCUCUAAAGGGGACAGUCUUCUCUACAGCUGGACUCUGGAUGGACGCCCUCUGACAGACUCUGACCUCGUCCCAAAGGGCAGCAACACCAACAUUAUUCACCUGAAACUACAAACUGUAGGAAAACUGGUCUGUCAUGUCCAAAACAAAGUCAGCAAAAGCUCUGGUGAAGUGACGUUAACCACUUGUGGUGUGGAAAAUCACUGUGAUGGCAGACAGAAUAACGCUCAGUGUUAUGCAGCUUUGGAUGGAUCUAUAUUCAUCAGGCUGAUGGACAGCGCUGUAGAAAAUCAUUCAUACAUGUGGUCUAAAGAUACAAGUAGAUUAUUGAGAGUGAAUGAUAAACACGUUAUAAAUACUUUAGAGAAGAGAGCAGAUUUUACUACACAAAAUGGUAUUUAUAGAAUAAAUCAACUAAAGUCGAGUGACAGUGGCCAGUAUCGACUUGAUGUUUUUGUAGAUGGGGUAAAAGAAGAAGAACGGAAACUAAAUUUGUCUGUUCAAGGUCAGUUGUUUCUUUUUGGUUUGUCCAUAUAG